Molecule: non-coding RNA, 31 nt
Filed under: Rattus norvegicus (Norway rat)
Lineage: Eukaryota; Metazoa; Chordata; Mammalia; Rodentia; Muridae
Source: RNAcentral
AUUGGGAGUUUCUACAAACACAUUCUCUCAA